GAUGAACGCUGGCGGCGUGCCUAAUACAUGCAAGUCGAGCGAACAGACGAGGAGCUUGCUCCUCUGACGUUAGCGGCGGACGGGUGAGUCACACGUGGAUAACCUACCUAUAAGACUGGGAUAACUUCGGGAAACCGGAGCUAAUACCGGAUAAUAUAUUGAACCGCAUGGUUCAAUAGUGAAAGACGGUUUUGCUGUCACUUAUAGAUGGAUCCGCGCCGCAUUAGCUAGUUGGUAAGGUAACGGCUUACCAAGGCGACGAUGCGUAGCCGACCUGAGAGGGUGAUCCGCCACACUGGAACUGAGACACGGUCCAGACUCCUAAGGGGGGCAGCAGUAGGGAAUCUUCCGCAAUGGGCGAAAGCCUGACGGAGCAACGCCGCGGGAGUGAUGAAGGUCUUCGGAUCGUAAAACUCUGUUAUUAGGGAAGAAGAAAUGUGUAAGUAACUAUGCACGUCUUGACGGUACCUAAUCAGAAAGCCACGGCUAACUACGUG
RNAcentral lists this ribosomal RNA (497 nucleotides) under uncultured bacterium. Its description in RNAcentral is "partial 16S ribosomal RNA". It matches the Rfam family "Bacterial small subunit ribosomal RNA", at positions 28 to 507 of the family's 1533-position model. The record is from RNAcentral.